This 759-nucleotide unclassified non-coding RNA is filed under the name uncultured Prochlorococcus sp. RNAcentral describes it as "partial may contain 16S ribosomal RNA, 16S-23S ribosomal RNA intergenic spacer, and 23S ribosomal RNA". The stretch from base 342 to 414 matches the Rfam family "tRNA". Lineage: Bacteria; Bacillati; Cyanobacteriota; Cyanophyceae; Synechococcales; Prochlorococcaceae. The record is from RNAcentral.
GUGGAGAAGGACGCCGAAGGUGGGGCUGAUGACUGGGGUGAAGUCGUAACAAGGUAGCCGUACCGGAAGGUGCGGCUGGAUCACCUCCUAACAGGGAGACAAUAAAUUGAUUGUGAUGUCUAAGUUAUUUACUCUUAGGCCGCAAUCCUGUCACCUUAAGGUCGAUCGGUACCUCAGAUUUUUGAAUUAGUUUUAUAAUUAAUUCUUUGAUUUCAGUUCCUAAACUUGUCUAGGUCACACCCAACAAAGGUUUCUCCUGGGCCAUUAGCUCAGGUGGUUAGAGCGCACCCCUGAUAAGGGUGAGGUCCCUGGUUCAAGUCCAGGAUGGCCCAUUCGUUGUUGGGGGUAUAGCUCAGUUGGUAGAGCGCCUGCUUUGCAAGCAGGAUGUCAGCGGUUCGAGUCCGCUUACCUCCACUGAAAACUAUCCUGAUAACUAAAUUUCGGAGAAAAAUUUGUAGAAGUGGCUUAGAAUUGUCUGUCUGAAAAGAACCUAGCUUCUUGUCAUCUUUUAUAGUUGAUAACAUGCUGGGCUCGCAUGGAUUAAUUCCAUGAGAAUUCAGUAGAACCUUGAAAACUGCAUAGAUUAGAAAGAAUAAAGCAUCUCAUGGAUGCAUAAUUCUGGUUCUUAUAAUUUAGCCUUAAAACUAAAUUACUUAGUUCUAGAAUUCAUGUUUAAUUCUUGAGUAAUAGCCGAGCACAAUUGAUUUUGUGAUUGUAUUUAAGGUCAAGCUACAAAGGGCUCAUGGCGGAUACCUUGGC